RNAcentral lists this long non-coding RNA (1985 nucleotides) under Canis lupus familiaris (dog). Its description in RNAcentral is "lncRNA (ENSCAFG00805024905.1, ENSCAFG00845024096.1)". Lineage: Eukaryota; Metazoa; Chordata; Mammalia; Carnivora; Canidae. The record is from RNAcentral.
UUUAUUUAUUUAUUUAUGGAGCCUGUAAUCUCAAUUAAUUAAUUACAAUGGGUUUUAGGAGGCAAAAGAAAUAAACUUAUUCCACUCUCAUGUAGUUAACAUUAAAAGUUCCUAACACAAGUAAAAUUUGUCUGAGAAGAACAAUGUCCAUCAUGUCUGUUACUCACAGGCUAUAAAUGAAGUUACUUACCUGGGCUCCAAAACCCAGAAAAUUAACAGCAGAAAAUUAACCUAAUCUUUAAAGAAGUGAAAGCAGGGGCAUUACAGAAAGUCACUUCACUGACACUUUUCUGGUCUUUACAGUUUGGCAGUAAUUUAAAAUAAAAACCUACACGUCUAAAACUGGAUAAUCAUCAAUGUGUAGGAAGAUGUGUUAAUUACUAAGUAGCAGUCCAGGUAAACAAUAAAGAAAUAUGAUAGUCUAACACAGCUCAGUGUAUAGAUUUUUAUGUUAUGAUGAAACUUCCCAGUAUCAAACUCUUAAAAUGCUUUUGUGUAUCAACCGUGUAAUUUGUUAAUUUUUUGGUUCUUUCUUAUUUUCUGCUUAUUUGGAUAUGAUAUUCUUAUGAAGGGAAAACUGACUUAAUAGAAGAGAAAUGGCAUGUUUUCUUAUAAUUUAUAUUUGCACUCCCUCCCAUUUUUCCAGGAUUUAUUUCUGGCAUCUCAGCUACAAAACCUGAUGUUGUGAUACUUUAGGGCUUAAGGCAGAUAGAUCAGUUUUGUCUGUUUACGAAUGACCAGGGAGAUAUGCAGAAAGGUGUUUGGGUAGAGCUUAAUGGGGAUCAUGUUGUCAGAGUAGUAACUUCCGAUGAUACAUACAUUAUUUUUCUGUGUCUGAUUUUUCCUUCACUUCUGAGAAGUGAAAAAUUUUCACUUCUUUAUUUUCACUUCUUUAUUUCCUAUCUUACAUACCACUGUUGUAUUUUUUUCAGAUUUUGUUCAAUUUUCUUUGCUCUUUCUUCUUCUUUUUUUUUUUUUCUUUUUCCUUGCCUUGGUGAUAGCUACUCCUUCUCCUAAUGCUUGAUUAAUUACCAGUUUUCUUGCCUCCUCACAUAAGCAGUUUUUUCCUUUCUCAGGAAAGCUUUCAGAACUAAGUCUUUGGGCAGCCCGGGUGGCUCAGUGGUUUAGCGCCACCUUCAGCCCAGGGCCUGAUCCUGGAGACCCGGGAUAGAGUCCCAUGUCAGGCUCCCUGCAUGGAGCCUGCUUCUUUCUCUGCCUGUGUCUCUGCCUCUCUCUCUCUCUCAUGAAUAAAUAAAUAAAAUAUUUUUAAAAAUGUUAAAAAAAAAGAACUAAGUCCUAAAUGGAGUAUGAGUUUAAAAAGAAUUACCAGUACAAACAUCUAAAAGUUCAUGCAAUCUCAAAAUACAUUUUCAUCAAUAAAUUAUUUUUUGAUAAAAAAUAUAUUUAGGAAAAAAAAAAGGUCACUAUGCUAAAAAUCAUAUUCCUUAUCAUUGUAUCCAAAGUAAACACACUUUAUAAACACCUGGCAGUGUGGAGCUAUUAUUACAUUAAAAAUAUUCUAAUGUAAAUUGUCUACUGGUCCUAACCAAUAAUAAACAUACAACCUUCUUGAGAGAAGUUCAGUAGACCAAUGAUCAACUUAGGUCAGUCUGUGAGACAUCUAGCUUAGAUCAGCCUUCCAAGUCUGAGUCUGUGUUGUGAGACACGAUAUUUCUGCAUCUUGAUAUAAGAUCAGCUGAGAUCUAUAUGUCCCCCUGACCUUUUAGGACUAUUAUGAUUAUGGAACUGGUUUAGCUGGUGACAGGGGCUAGUUUUUAUUAUUUUUUCAGGCUCCUGUUCAUGACACAGAAACAGAUCCACGGGGUUAGAAGUUUGUACAAAGUUAGCUAUGACACUAUCCAUUGGUAGGACUUCAGAGUUUGCUGAAAUAAAAUGAUUUUAUAUUUAUUCAUUUGGAUAAUAAAAAAAUUCCAAAUCUAUUAAAAGGAAAUUCCCAGAAACUUCCUAUUUAAAAAAAAAAAAAA